Molecule: ribosomal RNA, 254 nt
Filed under: uncultured bacterium
Lineage: Bacteria
Description: partial 16S ribosomal RNA
Rfam family: Bacterial small subunit ribosomal RNA
Source: RNAcentral
GACGUAGGGCGCAAGCGUUGUCCGGAUUUAUUGGGCGUAAAGAGCUCGUAGGCGGCUUGCCACGUCUGCCGUGAAAACCAGCAGCUUAACUGUUGGCGUGCGGUCGAUACGGGCAUCACUGGAGUUCGGCAGGGGAGACUGGAAUUCCUGGUGUAGCGGUGAAAUGCGCAGAUAUCAGGAGGAACACCGGUGGCGAAGGCGGGUCUCUGGGCCGAUACUGACGCUGAGGAGCGAAAGCGUGGGGAGCAAACAGG